This 232-nucleotide ribosomal RNA is filed under the name uncultured bacterium. Its description in RNAcentral is "partial 16S ribosomal RNA". It matches the Rfam family "Bacterial small subunit ribosomal RNA", at positions 15 to 236 of the family's 1533-position model. The record is from RNAcentral.
GAUCCUGGCUCAGGAUGAACGCUAGCUACAGGCUUAACACAUGCAAGUCGCGGGGAAACGAUAUUGGAAACUUGCUUCCGAUAGGCGUCGACCGGCGCACGGGUGAGUAACGCGUAUCCAACCUGCCCACCACUUGGGGAUAACCUUGCGAAAGUAAGACUAAUACCCAAUGAUAUCUCUAGAAGACAUCUGAAAGAGAUUAAAGAUUCAUCGGUGAUGGAUGGGGAUGCGU